RNAcentral lists this long non-coding RNA (350 nucleotides) under Vigna radiata. RNAcentral's name for it is "long non-coding RNA (VRAD_LNC007020)". Lineage: Eukaryota; Viridiplantae; Streptophyta; Magnoliopsida; Fabales; Fabaceae. The record is from RNAcentral.
UAUUUGAUAUCUAUCAAAUCAAAUCAAAUAUUACCAAACUCAAAACUAAUAAAAUAAUAAAUUUCUAAAUUUAAGUUUAUCCCAACAAACUCCCCCAUAAACAUAAAUUCUUCCUUUGUUCUCCCUUUAUUCUUCUCUCAUUCAUUCUCUCUUCUUCAUUCUUCUCUCAGGAUCGUCUAUGGCCUUGAGUGUUCCGAACUUCUCCACUCUUCAGAGUUUGAAACCAAUCUUGCUUAAGAGUUCUCCCUCGAACGCGUGCGUCAUUCUCUUCUACGUGUGCGACGCAAGUCUCCCUUGUACGCUACGCGUCUUCAACGCACUCCAAUUCACCUCUCAUGAUUCAUCCGGCG